AAGCUAAAAGCGUGAUCUGAAAUUCCGUUCAUUUUGCGCCAGGCAUUACCAGGCUGCAUCUUGGCAGAUAAACAACCUACAGACGGCGCAAGGUUGGAUCGCGAUCGGCGGCACAUCAACUCAAAAGCGCCGACUGGCUGAAGACCGGCAAACUGCAAAACAGUCUAAUAGAAGACAAGCGGACGUCGACGUUCCAUAUCUCCUGCGCCUCCCAGUGGUGGAAGAAGGCACCGCGGCAAUGCUAUUCACGCUCUGGCUGAAUCUGAACUGGAAGGAUGGACGCCGUCUGACCAGGCAAGUUAUUUUGUCUUUUUGCAAGCAUGCGAUUCAGCGCUUUCGACACUGCGUUUCAUCUGGAGCGAGCGUGCAUUUGGAUACGCGCCAUUUUCGAGGCAUCGGUCAUUUUAACAUUUGAUCUGCACCUGAUCUUUUCCUGAUCAAGAUAUUUUCUCGGUAUUUUCAAGCCUUUUCGAGCUUGCGUGUCAUUUGGAGCGAUGGUAUAUUUGGAUACGUGCCAUUUUCGAGGCAUCGGUCAUGUUCACAUUUUGAUCUUCAUCCGAUCUUUUCCUGAUCAAGAGGUCUUCGUGGUAUUUUCAGCCUUUUUGAGCUUGUGUGUCAUUUGGAGCGAUGAUAUAUUUGGAUACGCGCCAUUUUCGAGGCACCGGUCAUGUUCACAUUUUGAUCUGCAUCCGAUCUUUUCCUGAUCACGAUAUUUUCGCGGUAUUUUCAAGCCUUUCCGACCUUGUGUGUCAUUUGG
Long non-coding RNA from Branchiostoma floridae (Florida lancelet), 757 nucleotides. RefSeq lists it as uncharacterized. The record is from RefSeq and is a predicted model, not a curated record. Lineage: Eukaryota; Metazoa; Chordata; Leptocardii; Amphioxiformes; Branchiostomatidae. The transcript has 3 exons.